CCAUGUGUUCCACCCCGGUGCAAGGCAGGCACUGUCCUCUCAGUUCAUUCUAACAAUCGCCUUGUGAAGGAAACGUACUCUUACUCCUUCUGCAGAUGUGGAGACAGAGGCAGAAAAAAAGCCAUGCCCAAAGUGACACAGGUUUGAACUGAAACAUUAGCUCUUCCUGGGUCUCAAGCCUGUGGGCCUCCAGACUGGAAGUACACCGUUGGCUCUCCUGGGAUCUCCAGCUUGCCAAUUUACCCUGCGGAUCUUGGGAUUUGCCAGCUGCCAUAAUUUUGUUGAUGAAAUGAAAAAAAAAUGCAAGGCUGAGUAUGGAAAGACUGUGUAAAUGGAGUUCUCAUUCAGUGUUGCGGCCAAGGAGAACUCUGCACAUGACAAGACAGAGACUUCCUUUGGGUCUGUCAUUUGGUGCUUCUGUCAAUAAGUUCAUCAUCAUGUCAUUAGCUUCUCUAAGGAUGUCCGGGAUCUGAAGGAGAAGCCCCCCAAUAUUGACAGCCUUAGAGAAGGAGCAGUCUUCAUUCUGAAGGUAAUCUGUUUUUACUCACUGAAUAAUUGCUAGAUAAAUCCAGUCUCAUUCUGUAAUAACCCACUAAACAGGUUAUGAAAUAGAUGUUUAUGAGUCGUCUCAGGCUCAAUUCCAACCAGUUGUUAGAGAGGCUUUUAAAAGCAUGUGCAUACUGUAUCAUGGCUGUUAAACUGAAUGUUCAUUACUAUUAUUCAAUCUGCCAAAAAUUGUCACUUAAUUUAAUAAUAUGAUGAAAACCUAAAAAGAAUUAACAUGGCUUAUUCUAUAAUGUCUGUUCUCUCCCACCACUCCACAGAGUCCCUCUUUCUUUGGACGCCCUUAAUAUUUCAGGUAUAAGUGAAUCUUAUACACCCACAGCCUCUCUGUGACCUUGUUACAGUACAGCUGAAUAAGGCUGCUAGUAGAAGUCUGUAAUUCUAGACUUUAUCCAGGAGAAGUUAACUACUGAAUUUUAAAAAGACCUUCUUCUUAACUAUAUGGAAGGCAUGAAUCCAACAGCUGCAUUGAAUUAGUCUUUUGUACAGAUUUGUUAUGCAUAAGUAAAAUCUCUAUCAACAUUUGUUUAUUGAUUGAUACACGUAGAAGAUACAGCUAAUAUUUUAUGAAUACUUUAUAUGAAUGCAUUAGUUGUCUAUUACUGCUUAAGAAAUUACCAUAAUUUCCAUGCUUAAAACAACACACUUUUAUUUAUUAUCUGUUAGUUUCUGUUGGUCAGGAGUUCAAGCUGGGUCCUCUGCUCAGGGACUUAUAAGGCUGCAAUCAAGGUGCCAGCUGGGCUGUGUUCUCAACUGGAGGCUCACUUACGGAAGAACCUGCAUUCAAGCUCACUUAGGCUCUUUCCAUAUGGCUUUAUGACUGAAGGCCCUGGCUUUUACUGAUGGUCAGCUGGAGGCCAUGCUCAGAUCCUAGAGGCUGCCCACAGUUUCUUCACGUAAGGCCCACUUCAGAGACAGUGCACAACAUGGCUAUUUAUUUCUGCAAGGCCAGGGGUGAAUCUUUCUCUCUCCUCUCCCAAAAGGAAGACUUAUGUAAUCGAACUUAAUCAUGGGAAUGAUAGCCUAUCAUCUUUCACAUAUUCCAUUGGUUAGAGGCAAGUUGCAAGUCACCCACACUCAGGAGGAGUGAAUUAUACAGAGUCUAACUGCACGAGGCAGAGAUCAUUGGGGCAUGGUAGAAUUCUACCUACCAAAAUGAAUAACCUCAUUUAUCCUCACAAUAGCUCUACAGGGCAAGUUCUGUUAUUAGUAUCUAGAGACGAGGAAGCAGGGGCAAUUUGCAGAUCCGUGAUAACCCACACAGAUGAAACUGUCUGAGCAAGUGUUGGAACCCUUGUAUUUGGCUGGAAAAACUGAGACUUUAACCACCUGCAUUCAAACCAUAUUUAUUUUUCUGCUUUAAAUAACAGAGUGAAGACAUGUUAUUUGUUGUAUGUUGGACUCUGUUCCAAAACAUACAUUUCUCUUUUCAUCCUGACAUCAAGCCCAGUAGGAAGCUGUUACAAUCUCUAUUUUACAGAAAAGAAAGUCUAUGCUUAGAAAGGUUUUUCUUUUGUGACUUUGGUCAAGUGACUUACCUCUCAGAGCCUCAUCCUAUUCACCUGUAGCGAUAAUACAGGACUGACCCAGAUUAUUAACUUGGUAAAUACUAGUUAGUUUUGUUUCUAAGACUGGUAAAUUUCACCUAAGUCUCUAUCUUUAAAGAUGUAAAAUUUAACAGUGUGAGAGUAGAACAAGUUAUUUUUAAGCACCUGUGUUUCUUCUGCCUCUAGUUGGUUCCCCUUCUGGUGUCCAGGAAAAUUCUGUACCAGCUUCUCUGCUCCUGAUGACUUCUUAUUUCAGGGCUACUCUUCUUAUCUUAGUCCAACAAAGGCCUCUCUGAGGUCAACCAAAACCUGAGUGAGUCUCAUGGACAUUGUAUGUCGCAUGUUCCUCUGGGGAACCUGAGUGCUGUCUGUCCCCAUCCUCAGCCUCAUCCUUUCCCUCUCCCCUUUCCUCUUUUGCCUUCCCCACUGGGGUCGGGGGGCGAGACUGUAGGUCUUCAUCUCUGUUUCCUGCUUUCCUCUGCAAUAGGACUCAAUGACUGUAGGUUAAAUAGAGAGCUUUGUCUCUCAGUGAGAGGUGUUCCAAUGGGUGGAUGCUCUGAUGCCAGUCCUUUACUAGGCUCUACAGAUAUAGAGAGUAAUGGGAAGUAGCCUCUGUCCUCCAAGUCUACAGGAGAAGAAAUUAGAAAACCUUUUCUAAGCACAGCAAAUUGUCCAGGAGUUUCCUCAAGGUUAACAAGGAAACGGAGAGCAGAGAUUGAUGACCAUAAGGAUUUCUAGAAAGGCAUUCAUUUUGGCACUAGGCAGCCUGGGCUGUAAUCCCAGCUCUGCCUCUUGCUAGCUGUAUGAGCGUGGCCAAGAAAUUGCUUAACCUCUGGGCCUCGGUUUCCUCACUCAGUUUCACUCAGUAAGAGAGGAAUAAUAGUAAUUUCUCUCUCAAAUAUUAUUGUGAUACCCAAAUGAUGAAAUCAUACAAUAAGAGUGCAUGAUGAACUGAAAAAUGCUCUGCAAGUGGGAAUUAAGAUAUAAGACUGAGAUAAAUUGUAGAAAAGCAAAUAAUUGAGAAAAUCUUAACCUUGGAAAAAUCCAUGACAUUCACAUUUUAUCCCAAAGUAAUUAUCACCUCAUCAUCUUUUCUUUCUUUUCCAAGGCAAAUCUUUUAAAAAUUAUGAUCAUACCAUGUGCAUAUGAUUUUCAAGGGUGGAAAAACUUGUUUUGAAACCACAAACCAUCUUAUUAUUAUUUUUUCGAGUAGGAGGCAUGAGAAUGUUGUUGUGUGAGGUGAAACACUGCCCACAUCUGGAGACAUAAUUUAGGCUUCCCAUUUAUAGCUUCCGUUGUGGUUAUUCAAAUCCGAGGCCAUGUUAGAAGAGUCAAUGAGAGUCCAAGAAAACAGAAAACAUUUUAAGCACCUCCUAUUUAAUCAAUUGCAAUAGCCCAUAAUAGAAUGUUCAUCCUCAGAAGGAAGACUCUUGUGGGUAUUUAGUUAAAAUAAGGGAAAAUAGUAAUGCAAUUUGUGGGAGGAAUCCAGUGUGGCAAACCUUUGGUUUUGGAGAAAAAAUUAAAUUAGUAUUGCUCAUCUUGUCAUUGUCAACAAAUUGAGUCUGGGUAAACCCCACACUGUUUUCUAUGGACCAAUGACAGAUGAGCCAAAUGCAUGUUUUGUUUGUUUUGCUUCAGUCUUGUCAAAAAAAAUUUUUUUCUGAUCAGACUCUAUAGUUGGUUCUGGUUUCACCAAGCUUUUUAUUAUAUAUUUUCAUUGUUUAUUUUAUCAACAGAAAGUGAUUUUUAUUCCAUCUUUGAUACAAAUGCCAAAACAAAAAAUUAUUUUGUCCGUAUUGUACUUUCCCCCACCUCCAACCCUCUUAUGAAGAAAAUAGAAUAAUUCAAAUUCGAGUUUCUUCGAGAUUCAUCAUGCUCAUCAGUGGAGGAAACAUAGAAACGCUCACAGUAGCCCCUCACUAAACUGGAGAUCAGCUUGGGUUAAUGAAGGAAAGAAGUCUAUUUUGUUUUGUUCUAAUCUGUGUUUAACCCAUGGGUUGUCUGAUGAAUUAAGGUGGUUUAAUAUGAACUUGAUUUGGGGGCAGGAUGAAGAAAAAACUCACCCAGGGAAAGCAGGACGUGACUGAAAAUGUUGGACCAACUGGGAGCAGGCAUGGGGAUUCCUUGGGCUUUGGGUAUAAAAGACAGUUCAGCGUUAGUCAAAGAAUCUGGACUAAUCUUGUCUAAUGAGAAAGACUAGGGGAAAGUUCGGACUCUCAAAUGUAUAGUCAGAGAACAAGAAUGAACUUAGUAAUUCCCUUAGUUCUAGAAAUUUCCCUGAUACAUUGUCUUCCACAAAAGAGUCAUAAACUGUCAACUUUUUAAUUUUUGAGGAAAACACAGCAAGGAUCAGCUGAAGGUAGGAGGGCAUUGGGCAGAUGCACUGAUAAUGACUGCCAUGCAUUGGAAAUUUACUGUGAGCCAAAUAUGUUUAUAAAGAACGUAAAGAGCAUAUUUUAUUCACUCCUUGGGGGCUGGCCCGCUGAUGCAGGGGUCAAGUUCGCAUGCUCCACUUUGGCAGCCCGAGGUUUGCGGGUUCAGAUCCCCGGCAUGGACAGAUGCACCGCUUAUCAAGCCAUGCUAUAGCAGGCGUCCUACAUAUACAGUAGAGGAAGAUGGGCACAGAUGUUAGCUCAGGGCUAAUCUUCCUCAAAAAUAAUUUUAAAAAAUUAUCCUGUUUGACUUGCACUAGGAAGAAGGUAGUCGUGUUUCCCAAUUUUAAUGAUUAGGAAACACAGACCAGAGAGGUAAAGAACAUUGUACAAGUCACAGAUGUAGUCAGCAACAGCACUGAAGGCUUGACCUCCCUGGAUCCAGAGACCCAGCUCUUAACCGAUAUUCUGUAUGUCCUCCUAGCGGUUUAAGCCUGCUUUGCCUCACUGGGGAAAGAACUCUUUUUUGUGUAGAUUACUCCUUUAUGUAGAAACACAACUUAUGUCAUAAGAACAUUUUAAUUUUCCAAAGUCUGGUAUCUUCCAUUUGGGUCUCUUUCUACUGGCUACCAAAGCCAUUCCAAGGAUAUAGAAUUAAUUUUCCCUUCUAUGUCUCCUAUUUGCAUUUUGCUUAUUCAGCUGCUCUUCUGCAGGGUCUCAGUGUUAUGAAAGAAUAUUUUGUUCUCCCCUAUACAACUGCAAACGUCUAAGUUUUUAGGAAGCAAGAUUACUGUAGUUACCUCAUAUUAAGCUAUCAUCUCUCAGUAUCUCAACACCAAACAAUCUCAACACCAAACACAUCCUUCUGUAUUCUUCCUUUUAAUGCCAGGGCUGAGAAACUUGCAAACUAUAUUUCUACUCUGCUAACUAUUAGGAUCUGCCAUUACAGGGUGCUAUAGCAAGACUUGAAGGUAGAACAGGGCAGAAAGGAUUGGUUCUUUUAUCUUGUUAUGCCUUUCAGUGUGGCCCCAGCAAUGAAUCUCAAUUGCCCUAGGAAGAAACAGAGCGUCCGCUAGCCCUGAUGACUGCAUCUGCUGCCUGUAGGUGCUGUCUGUUUAACCUGAAUGUUACCUGCUUUCUUUUUCAGUUCUCUGACACCUACUUCACAAAUUCCUAAUACUAAAUAUGGAAGUACUAGUGUGGUUUCUGUUUUUCUGAUUGGACCCACCUUUUCAGGGUCUGUAGUAAAUUAAAGAAUCUUCAAAUGUUGUCAAGUCCAAAUUCUGACACAGCAGAGAGGUGAUCUAUUAGGACUGGAUGUCCACUCAUGGGCAACUCUCAUUACACAAAGUUUCUAGAGCACUGUGUUUGAGGGAAGUAUGAGGUUAUAUGGGAUUCUAUGGGAGAGAAGUUUGUGUUUACUCAAUGGCAUCUGCUGUUGAUGUUAUCAGGCAGAGCUGUAUAUCUCAGCCUAGAACACAGAUUCCUUAUGUGAACUUACGAGGAUGAGUUCUUUCUCCCAUUGUAAUUCUUUUUUGUUGUGUCACUUGGACAUGUAAUAACAUCUUUGAGAUUUAGUUUACUAACCAAUGAGAGGAGGCCAGGCAUAUGUGCCCUCAUCCCCACUGCAAUUCAGAGGGAUUUUCAAGGGAUAGAUCCACUCAUUUCAUUCAUUCAUUCAUUCAAUUCUUUAAUACAUUAAUUCACUCUCCCAUCAUUUCUCCAUUCACCCAUGCAUCCAUUCUUUCCUUCAUUUUAUUUACUUUAUUUGUUCAUUGUUCUGAGAUUCUCAUUUGUCCUCAACACUAUGCUAGACUGGGAGAUAUAAGAUGAGGAAAAAAAUGGACUUCCACUUCUAGGGGUUGUAUAGAGAAGUGGGGAAAUUUUGGUUGAAUUAAAUCUGGAAGAUAAAAGGAGGAAAUAGGAUAACAUUCAGUAGAAAGAAUGUCUUUCAGGGAGAGAAAAGCUGAUGGAAUGAUGCAAAGUUGCUGAUAGAUGAAAGGAUAGGGCAUGGUCAGAAACUAAGUAGUUUGUUUAAAGCUGGGGAGUGCCAGGAAGUGAGAAUGCUAAGGUGAAGUAGAUAGAUUGCAAUGGGCUCUUUUAAAGGAAGGAGAGAAAUAUAUCAAUGUCGUUAUGUGUGCGUAUGUGUGUGUUAUUUUUAAAGCCUAUUGUGGACUCCAUGAAAAUUAAGGUUAUUAAUAUUCAACAAUAGCUACUAUCUAACAGAGAUAUUAGAGAAUAUGACUCAUGUUCAAUACUAAAUGUAAAUGUAGGUAAAAUUGCUAUUGUACUGGUCAAAAGCCCCGGACCUCCACUCAUUUCCACUAACCAUCUAAAAUAGUGAGUGGUUCAAUCAGUUGAUGAGUAUCCAUCAUUCAUUCAUUCAACAAACACUUUUUCCUAUCUACAAUUUGUAGGUCCUUCUAAUAGAUCCCAGAAUUAUGACAGCAAACAAGAUCCUUUUUUCUCUAAGCUUAUGGUCUAGCUGUGGAAACAAAUGAUUAAAUGUGGAAUUUCAGGAAGAUGUGAUAAGUAAGUAUUAUUUUAGAGUAAGAAUGGUGUGCUUUGGGAGGAUAUAAGAAACAUCAUUUAAAAUAGUCUUGAAGCUCAGAGAUGGUUCCUGGAAAAGGUGACAUGAACUUAGACCUACGGAUUUAGUAAGAGUUCAUCAAAAAGAGGCACUGGGAACUAGUGUUUCAUGUAAAGGCAACAGCACAUGUGAGGUAUGGAGUUGGCGAGCGCUUAGUGUUUUGAGGACCUGAAAGAAGCCUAUUAUGACCGGACUAAGGAUGCUAAGGGAAGGGCUGCAGGGGCAUGCAGGGGACAAAACUUACAGGGCUUUUAUGCAAAACGAGGGAUAGACUUUAUCCAAUGAGUAACUGGAAGUCCUUGGAUGGUGCAAGUGGCAAAGAUAUGAUCAGAUUUGCAAUCUGGUUGAAUUAUAGACAAUUAAUCAGAGGGAAUUCAAUGAAAGCAGGUAGACUUGUGAGGGGUAUUAUGGUAGUGCCCUAGUCUGGGGCCACUUCAUUUGAGAGGGAAGUGGAACCAUUUCGGAGAUGGACUUCUCUGGGGAGAUCUUCGGCUGAAUAUAGAGAUGUACAUAGAUAGGUAGGUAGAUUGCUGAAUGGUCAGUAAAAUCAGAUGAGGAAUGCCUGUUAAUUUUAAAAUGCAUUCAUAUGUGGUCCUGUAUGACAUGAUAGUACAGGGUAAUGAAUAGGAGACAGUGAAAGUAGACAACUAUUUUAAGACUGGAUAUGAAGAGAUAGGGGAUGGGUAUAAGGAGUGUUAGCUGGAAGGGGAUAAGAUGCAAUGGAACCCGUUUGUUUCAGGUGGACAAACCUGAGAAUGUUUACCUCUUGUUGGGGAGAAAUAAGCAGGAGAGGAGAUUGGAAAAUAUAUUAGAGAAGGGGAGGGAUAAUUGAUGGAUAAGGCUCUAAGAAAAUUGAAGGUAACAGGAUUAAAUUUUUCAUGACAGAGGUGACACUAAUCCCACUGUCGCAGAAAGGAGGAAGAGUGCAUGGAUAAAGAGGGCUGGUUCUCAGGAGUUUCAUUAUUGGUUUGUUUUUGUUGCUUAUGGUGUCCUCAUGAGAUAGUAAAUGAGGUAAUCUGCUUAGAAAAGGAAAGGAGUUGGAGGGCUAGUCAGUUGAAAAUGGUGGGUUGGAAAUAAGUUAGGUUGAACCUUACAAAAUUUGCAUGUAUAUGCAUAAGAGAAAAGAUGAAGAUUGUAAAGUGUGUCUCAAUAAAUAAGUACUUCUGAGCCCAGCAACUUUUCCCUCCUAAGAGUUUACUAAGCUUUCCUUCUUUCUUUGUUUUCUGCCUUCCUUGUUUUCUCUUAGCCAAUUAGUAAUACUAAAGCUUUCAUCACUUUAACAAAAAAAGUUAAGUACAGUUUUAGAGUUUUAAGUAGACUCUAUUCUCCUCUUGUGAGCAUAGUAUUAACUGAUGCAUUAUGUCAGAGCAUUGGGAAACCAAUUCUGUGUGUUUUUAUUAUCAUUGGUAACUUCUCAAAAAAAUGCUAAAUCUGCCCCAUUUAUAGAACUGAAAAGAUAUUAAUGUGAUUAUUUUUACACUAUUGCUAUGACUUGCUUUUUGUUUUACAUAAAAAACAAAUAAGCCAGAAACAUAUAUAUAUAACUGAGAAAGCCUGAACUUAUAUAUCUUUCAUUGAUAUAUCCACUUACCAAUUCAUCCAUUAUUUAAUAAACAUCUCUCUGUAAGGACUGUCCCAGGUACCAAGAAGGCAACACACAUCAGCCAUAGUCCCUGUUUCAAGAGCUUUCAGUCUAGUUUGGAAAACAGGCUAAAUGGUGAAACAUUAACAACCAAUUAUAAUACAAUAUGCUAUAUGCUGCGUAUGUAACAACCCCACAUGCAGUAUUCUUUGGGCAAUGCCUCCCUGGGAGAGUUGCAGAAUGCUUCACCGGGUCUAGGGUGAUGAGUAAAUAGGCGUUUCCUGUCUCCAACUCUGUUUCAUCCCCUCACAACACACCAAACACAAGAGAAGUUGUGCUUACCACAUAAGAAGUCCCCUACAGGGACCCACUAUCUCAGUAGGCAGCAACAACCACCCAGGUUGGAAGCUGGAAGAUUGACAAGUGGGAAUUUCAAGAUGUUUAAGAGUUAUCUGAAGGGAUAAUAAUAGUCAUCAUUUAUUGAGAACUUCUCUGUGGCAAACAUCAUGAUUAGGUGCUUUAGGUGCAUUACAUUUUCCUCACAACAACAAUCUCAUGAGGGAGAAACAUCUAUCAUCCGCACUGUUCAGAUGAAGAAACUGAUAUAUGUAUGCAUUUGAAAUAUAUUUUCUAAGGUCGAAAGGAUAAUGACAAGUUGUGUCAGGGUUAAAACCUAGGAGUCAGAGGAAAGCACCCAUUGUCUUCUCCAUGAGGCCACAGAUGCCUUCCUGUUGUCUUUUUGCAUAACUUAAGGAUGACAACUUGGUCCAAAACAGUACAUCACAACAGUUUGGUCAAAUUAGAAUUUAGUUAAAAUUAAAAUCCCAGCCUCUCAUUCUCCAAGUGCAGUAUUGAUAAUUUUCAUGUCCUAUGGAAUACAUUAAAAAUAUUAAUGCUUUCUUAAUAACUUUGUCUUUUUUCAGAACUUUUAGUAUUUUUCUACUAUGUUUCUUUUUCAAUUUUAGGUGAUUUUCAGCCAUAGAUUGAUUCUCUAUUCAUUAAGUAAAAUAGAGUGAAAGAACAUUAACGUUCAAUAGUAAGAGAUUAGUUGGAACACCCCAAAUAACCUUCAACAGAAUUACUUUAAUGCUUUCUUACUGGAUCUUUUAUUACAUUUCUUUUAUUUUUUCUUAUUAAGAAAAGUAUCAAACUCAUUGAAUAAAAAUCUGAAAAGACAUUCAUAAUCUCCCCCACUUUGACUUCUACUGUUAAAGCCAUUAUAUACAUCUAAGAUCUUCCCAGCUCUCUCUCUAUAUAUCAUUUUACUGUAACAAUGAGAUUUAAUAUGAAUACUCUUUCCUUCUCUUCCACAAUUAUAUCAGGCCCCUAAAUAAUUCUUUUGCUUUUAGGUUAUUCCCACUAUUCAAUACCACAAACUACCCAGAACAGAAAUAAUUGGCAAAACAUGAUUUAGAAACGGACUAGCAGAAAAGUAGAACUCACGUGGAACUUUCUGAGAAAGGCAUAUUUUUAAACACUGAUAACCUUACAAUGCCCCAGAGUUACCAAUUCUGUUUUGGCAAAGCUAAUUACUAGGGAUAUUUUAAAAAUCACCUUACAUUUCAAUAAAUGACUGUAGCAAGGGAGUGGCACGGACCAUCUGCAGCUACCCACCUCCUCCUUCCAGGGAAGGUGGAGGCCAAAGACAUGGUCCACUUUAACUUUCCAGCCAUCUAGGUGUAAACAAAGAUCAUUUUGGGAGAUGUUUGUUUCCCUGGGGGCAUCCUUGACUCCUUGCUUUCCUCACUCCACAUCUAACUUCUCAGAAAAUCCUUUCUACUCUGUGUUCCAGACCUGGUCCCUUCUCAGCACAUCCAUACUUAUCAUCCUAUGUCCAGGACCUGGUCCCUUCUCAGCACAUCCAUACUUAUCAUCCUAGUACAAGCCACUGUUAUCUCUCGUAGUUGGUCUCCUUGCUUCCAGCUUGCCCCCUUACAGUCUGGUCCACACAUGGACCAGAAGGAUUCUAUUAAACUCUAGGUCAGAUAUUCAACUCCUGUGUUCAAAUGACCUUUCAUCUCAUUCAGAGAAAACACCAAGUACUCCCAUGGCAAGCGACACCCCACAGUAUCUGCUCUCAACCCCAUUCCAUCUCUGACCUCAUCUCCUAAUACUGUCCUCUUUAUUUGUUUUACUCCUGCAACAUUGGGAUCUGGCCUUUCCUCAAACACAUGAGGUGUUCUCCUGAAUCAGAGUCUUUGUGUUUUCUUUAACACAUUCCUGGAAUGCUCUUUUUCAUGUGGCUUAGUCUCUCAUGGCCUGCAAGUCUUGCUCAGAUCUCACCUCCACAGUAAAGUCUUCCCAUGAGGACUCUUCAGUUGCAACUUUCCCACCUCCCUAGCCUGUUGCCCUGCUUCAUUUUUCUCUUUAGCACUUCUUAAUAUCUUUCAUGUUGCAUGUUCAAUUGAUUGAAUGGUUUAGCCAGUCUCCCCCCAAGCAGAAUGUAAGCUCUAUGAGGACAAGAAUUUCUGUUGUUUAGUUCUGUGCUUCAGUCCCAGUCACACAAAGUAGAUAUCAACACACCUUUCUCGAAGAAGUAGCCUCCUUUCCUCACCUCCAUCUGUACAAGGCUCCCUCUGCUGUUACGACCCAUCUUGUUGUCUGUGCAGGGCAAAUUGUGUGGGGAUGGAGAGAACUGGCACAAGUUACCAAGGUGCAGUGGGAAGGAGGAUAGGGAUAAAUUCCAUGUGAAGAGUUUUAGUCAAUCUGCUUCCCCUGGGGAGAUCAACAUUUUUGUCACCAAGACCCAAGCCUUGUCUCAGCAGCCUUGACCCAUGUCUUGUAAUGUCUUUGUUUGUGUCCAUUUGAAAAAGAGGGAAAUUAUUGCUCAUAUUCUUAACGGAAUAGUAUGCUGCUGCUAAAAAUGUUUGGAAGGAAUGAGUAAUCCACAGAAACAGGGUUAUGAAAUUAAAAGAAAAAAACAGUAGUUAAGAACUUUUAUUCUGGAUCAAAACAAUAAAGUUCGAAUCCUUUUUAGCUGUUUGAACUUAAGUAUGUUUCUUAACUUCUCUAGGCCUGUAAAUGCUGAUUAUAAUAGCACUUACCUAAUAGAAAGGGCUGGGUGAUAGAAUGAGAGAAUUCCUGGAAAAUGCAUAGCACACAAUACUCAAUGUUCAAUAAUUGAAAACUAUUGUCAUUAUCACUAUAAUUGUACCAAGUGAAUAAAAGCAGGGUGCAAAAUUGAAUGUAUAGCAUGAAGUGACCAAAUAAAAUAAAGUCCAUGUUAGCACAAGGGUUUUGAACCUCUGCAUUGGAGCUGAUGGACUUGCACCCUCUCACUGAUUCACACUCCACCUCAACUAGUCAGUUUCACAUUAUAGCAUCUGCCACUUGCACCAACCAGAUGACAAUUCUGGUAUCAUUCAGCUUUCUUUCAGUUGUGACAGACACACAAACUGAAUUAAUCAAAAAGAGGAUUUAUUGGCUCAUAAAAAUUGGGAAAUCUACUGGGCAGAGCUGGUUUUAAGCAAAUUUAGAGUGAGGCAUCCAAAUGAAAUGAUGCUCUCAGGAUUAUUUCUUUCCUUCCCUUCCUCUCUCCCUCCCUCUCUUCCUCUUCCUCCUCCUCCUCUUCUUCUUCUUUUCUCUCUUUCUCUCCCUUUCUUUCUCUCUUUCUCCAAGCACUGCUUGUCUCAGCUUGGAUUUAUUUUCAGACAGACUUUCCCCCACAUGAAAGCAGGAACCUGAUGCAGAGACCUUGUGUUUCAGAGUAAGGCACCCUUUCCAAUAGCUCUAACCGAAGUCCCAGAGUGGUCUUCUAUUGUCUGGACUUGGUUCACGUGGCUGUGCUGAACAAAUCACCGUGGCCUGGGCACAGAUCACUUGGGCUCACUGAGCUCACUUAGAGGCCAGGGGAACAGAGUGAGGCCCAUUGGACCACAAAGAUAUUUUAUUGUUGUUAUAUAAAAGGAGGGUUGGUAACUUCAAAGAAUUACUGAAUAGACACAGAGAAAAAAAAUUGGAAGGAAAUUCUGCAUAAUGUUAGUAUUGAUUAACAUGGAACUCAUGACAGAUGAUUUAUUUUUAUUUCUAUUUCUUAAAAAACAUUCCAAAUGAUCUUUAGUCAUGAUGUGUUAUUUUUAUAAUUGCAAAGAAAAAGGAAAAAAUGGUCCUUAAGAGUUGAGUGAGCUGGUGAGCUCAUCAAAUGGUGUGUGGAUAGGUACAUGUGACCCAAGGACUCUCUUUGGCCCAGCCUCAGACACAGCUGCACAUAGACUGGACUUUUAAGCAAUCAGCCCUCAUCUGGAGCAAAGGCUGUCAUGUGCAUGCAAUAUGUCAUCUCAUCCCUGAUGCUUCAGUUUAUGGGGAAACCAUGUAGUCGUGUUCAAACUUCCAGACAUUGAUAAUCGUGUGGAAAGAAUCCUAGACAAGCAGCCAGGAGACAUGGGUGGCUGUUUCAGAUCUGUCCCUAACAACUGUGUCAGGUGCCAGCCACUUCUUGGCUGCAGGUCCCACAUCUAUAAUCAGAAAGUUUAUUUUCAGCUUUAACAAUCUGUGAUUAUUAUUUGCGUUUACCGAUGGAGUAACUAAUUACUUCAUUAUAGGAUUUCUCAAGACCAGUUACCUCCUGUUUGGUUCAAUUAGCAAAACGCCAAUGUGAUUGUCAUUGAUUUUGAUGGUUUGGCUGCCAGGAGAAAAGCCCAAUGGGGGAAUAUUUCAGGAUCUUUAGCAGAUUUUCUGUUUAUAUUCCAAGGUAGUAUAUAGGAACAGAGCUUGUGCUUCAUUUUUCAAAAUUCUUGUUUAAAAAAUGCUCACACCCCAUCAUUCUCUUCCACUCUGCAGAUGCCCCAGGACUCUUUCACUUUUCCCUUUUAGUUUAGAGGCAGAGAAGAUAAACCAAACAAUAGUCGAGACUGGCUAGAACUGAACCUUUGCUUUUUUCCCUGAACAGAAUCACAGGAUAUUAGACAAAAGGUGAACCUCAAAGAUUAUUCAAUAUAACCCUGUUGGAUUUAGAGGAAACAUUUGCUGAGCAUCUUAACAUAUAUACUACAGAAAGAACAUAUACUGCAGAGUCAAGCAGAGUAUUGAUUGAAUCCUUGCUCUUUCGCUUACAAAUGUGUGACCUUUGAAGAAUUUCUUAAUUUUUCUGAAUCAUAUAUUUAUUAUUCUUUUUUAAUCUUUAAAAUGGGAACAAUAAUAACACCCACCUUGUAGCCUGUAUGGAUGUGGUAGACAGAAUAACGACCCCCCUACACACACCAAAAAUAAUCUAUAUGCUAAUCCCCAGACCCUGUGAGCAUAUUACCUUACAUGGCCACAGAGACUUUGCAGAUGGAUUAAGUAAGGGAUUUUAAGAUGAGAGAGUAUCGUGGAUUAUCCAGGCUGACUUGACGUAAUCGAAAGAACCUUUGUAAGUAAAAAAGCGAGGUGAGAGAGUCAGAGUCAGAGAAGGAGAUGACAAAGGACAGACAGGUUGGAAUGAUUCUGUGGGGUGGUGGGGUGGAGUAGGGGGCUACAAGCCAAGGAAUGAAGGUGGCCUCUGAAAACUGGAAAGGCCACUUAAAACCUCCAGAAGGAACAGAGCCCUGCUGACCAAGUGCAGACUUCUGACCUCUAGAACCGUAAGAUAAUAAAUCUGUGUUGUUUUAAGCCACCACCUUGUGAUAAUUUGUUACAGCAGCAAUAGGAAACAAAUACAGUGGAGAUUAUUGUGUAUACAGAUGGCCUGGAACAACACUACAGUGAGUAGGUGCACUGAAUGCUGCUGUUUUUGCUGCAGUUAUGGUUAUUGUUGUUUCUCUUCCCCUUCCUAUUCUUUUCCUAUUUCUGUCUUCUCCCUCAUCCUUUUUUCCUGUUCUCUUCCUCCUCAUCCUCUUUCUUUCUUCUUCCUUUUUCUCUCAUUAAAAAUAACAGGAAAGAAAGAAAAGAGCCAGCAUUCAAUAAGGACCUCCUAUGUGUCAGGCACCAUCAUUGGUGAUUUCACAUUCACAACCUAAUUCAAUCUGCCAACCCAUUGAAUAAGAUUUCAGUAUUUCCCUUUUACAGAUGAAGAAACCAAGGUCUACUGAAGUCAACUGAGCUGCUUCCAGACUCACUGAGAGUUAGUGACUAUCCCAAGGCUGUCUGUUACUCUGUGCCUCCCUCAUCAUUAGCAGGCUCACUUCCAUUCCAAAAAAGAACUGUUGACCUGCAUCCUAUGUGACCUGGUUGACCAGAGCUAGACUGGGCAAGAAAUUCCAUCACCAUGGCAACAAUGCUAUAUGCUGGGUUGAGGCAUGGUACCCUGCUGAGCCAGGGUGCAGAUGUCAGGGAGAGAUGCUGUGCCCCACGAAGGUGCUGCCAUCUGUCUGAAGACAUCCCUCUGCUCAGAACAGCAAAUAGCUCAUCACACCCCUACCAUUUCAAAUGAGCCGUCCCUUGCUCAGUUCAGGGGAAAAUAAGAAUGACCACCAUUUAUCAAACACCUACUGGGUGUCAGGCAUUGUGCAAGCUUUUUUUUCUCUGAUACAUAUUAUAAUUCUGUGAAGUGGAUAUUGUUUUCCCCAUUUAUAGGGAAAAAACUGAGGCUUAGAGGGGAGAAUGGCCUUGCCCAUUCACAUGUGAAACAGCAGGCUGGAGUGAAGCCAGGUGUGCUCAGAGACUAAGGCCAGGUCUUCCCCAGCUAGUCACACUGCUCCUCACGCCAAGCAAAGACAGUCACAGUGGGUCCCCAAAGGCCUUGAGUCUAAUCUGGCACUGUGUUUAUUUAUUUCCUUUUCCCUCUUGCCCCUUUCACUGCCUCUCUCUUCUUGGGUCGCCAGAUCAUUUGACAGUUUUACGUAAGCACUGGCACCAGGGCCUGGGGUGGGGAGCAUGGGACAUCUUGGUAGAAUGAAGAAUCUACAGAGCUGAGGAGGGAGGAUUGAGCAAGUUAGAGGAGAGGCCCGGCCCAGGGCCCAGAGGGAUAGUCCUCUACCUCCACCACAUGCCUGGCAGCAUGCCUGUGGACUUCUCUGCUUGAAGACUCAAUAAUUUCUGUGUAGAUAGAAGGCAGUGUGGUUAGGAGGGCAAGAGGCCAGCUUCAGAACUGGACAGAUAUGGACUUUAGGCUCACCUCUGCAACUCAGGAACUUUGUGGCCUUGGGCAAGUUGAGUCACAUCUCCAAGUCUCAGUUUCCUCUUUUGUAAAAAGUGUUUGACAAUACAAGCUGGAUCAUGUCAUAGAAUUGUGAGGACCCCACAGCUGGAAGGGGCCAUAGAGGCCAGCUUACUCUACAUGGCAUUCAGGUCCGUGUCUAAAAUUCUUUCACGUAAAGCAUGUUGCUUCUGUGGGAUCAAAUAUGGUAGGCAGUAAAUGGUUGUGCUGAUGCCAACGUCAGGAGGUGACGCAUUAAGAGGAGUUUCCUUGGAGCUUCUCUUUUGCUGCCUUCCAGGAGGGCUUUCCGCAUCUGGUUAUACCAGGACACAGACAACUCCAGGACUCCAUCUGAGAUCUCGUUCCUCACUCUGAGAUUCUUGUUUCAAGCACAUAAAAUGGCAUAAAGGUACUUACUAUCAAACAUGAAUGAAGCACACUAGAUUAAUUGAUAAGCUCAUAAAAUAAGAUUCUUAAAUGAAACCAUUAGAGAAUGUAGAAAUUCCCCUAGACUUUGUUUAAUGGGCUUAUCUAGAGCUGAAGUAGGCAAAAAGUUUAAGGUACCUCCCAUUUCACAAAGAAAAGGGAAGCUGUCAGGUCUGAAAUCCCACCCAUACCUUCUUAUUUUCAGCAUCAGAAUGAGAGAUUUCCCUUUGGCAAAUUUCCCUUUGGGUAACUUCACCUCUUUCCUGGGCUCUUACUUAACUUGCCUUCUCAUUUCUUUCAGAUUGUUCUUCCAUAAUGAUUUCAUCUCUCUCCAGUUCCUCACUAGAUAAUCUUUUAACAGGCAACCAGUCUAUACAUUUUUAUGCCUGCCAUAUGGUAGGCAUGCCUGAGACACUGGUGAUACAAGUGCAAAUUAGUCCUUGUUCUCAAGGAGGCUAUAUUUAAGAGGGGAGAGACAGACAACUCUAAACAAGUCUAUGACAUGCAGUGUAACAUCAAGUAGUACAAAGUGUGAAGAAGAAAAUUAAAACAAGGUGGGUGGCAGCAGCAGGGGGCUGGGGUGGCAAUAAUGGGGGUGUUGGUGGCAAAGGUAGGGAUGGUGGUGAGCGUGAUGGUAGUAAUAACAUUGGGAGUGAUGUUGGUGACAGUGGGGGCAAUGGAGGUAGCAAUGAUCAGGGGAGGUGGUAGUGACUGUGGGGGUGGGAACGGGGGCAUUAGUGGUAGAAGGCUAUUUUAGAUUAGGUAGUCAGUGAAGUUCUCCAUGAGAAAAUAUUUGAGUGGAGAUCUGAAUCAUAAGGAGCUAGAUUUGCAAAAAUCUAAGAGGAGAGCAUUCCAAGCAGGGAAAAUGAAAAUGCAAAAGGCCCUGACGUUUCAUUGCCCCCUACUUUGUAUACUUCAAGUUGUGAUUCACAUCAUCUCUAUGGCUCCUUGGGGGACUGAGCCAAAGUUACCCUCUGUGGGAAUCUGCCUGAUGAACAUUUCCUUGUAAGUCACUUCCAUACACAUUUUUCUCUUAUGGUCUUCUUCUGUGAACACUAACCUAAGACAGUGAGUAUAAAUAUAUAUUUCAGAGAGUUUUUUUGUAAAAAAAAGGAAAUUAAAGUUAAGAUUAUUAAAGUCCCAGAGGCAGCUCAAACUCAGCAUUUCUAAAACUGGACCCAUUAACAUUUUCUCCUCAAAUUAGCUUCUCUCCCAAUGUCGCUCUUCUCAGAGAAUGCCUCCAUUAUUUAUCCUGGCACAAAAGCAGAAACUUGGUUUAUUCUCAACUCUUCUGUAGUCAGUUUCCAAAUCUUGUUAUUUCUAUCUCCUUUACAUUACAUACAGGGGGAUCAGUAAGGGCUUAACCAAGAACAAUUUAGGUGUCAUUGCUGACAGUGGGAACCACUGAAGCAUGUUCAACCUUGUUUACCCAAAAUAGAACUUAAAAUAAAACCAUAUCCAUGCCUUUGGGCUUUGUUCUUUGCAGUCCUUUGCAAACUGUGCCCAUGUGCAUCAUGUCAAUUUCAUGUAGACCUUUAGCAAAAAUGGAAAGGAGGAGGGGCUCUCCACCAUGUCCUUGAAGAUUGUUGCGAAGGGUGAGGAAUUGCACAUUUAUUGUCCUUCCUCCAGGCUCUGAGGAAACAAAUAUAAUCUGUGGGGAAAUUCAAUAGAAUCUUAACAAAGAGCAAAGGCAAUAGGUGAAUCUUUGGAGGGGAAACUAAUUAAGCCAAACUGAAAUUAGUAGUUUUGGGUUUGAAAUUCUGCGGGAGUCUGGGCUAUGGAAAACUGGAACAGAGAAAGGAAGCAUACUGGCAGGGAGCUGAUUCAGGGCCCAAGAUUAAUUAUCAUUCACCAUCUAAUUAUGUAGUCUGAAUCACUACCCUGCCAGUUGAGCUCCUUUCCUCCAACACAGGGGAUAAGAAAAGGAUGUGGUUCUGGAAGCUGGGGGUCUUGCUUCUAAUUUUCCCUUAAGACAUAAUAAUAAAGCUCCCCUUUGUCCUUUUCUGAUUAUUAUUUACCAUUUUUAUCUUUUUAAAAGAGCUGCUCUCUUACAGAUUACUUUCUCCUUCCUUGUCAAAUAACCAUUUUGCAUUCUUGUCCUCUGAAUAUAAAAAUGCCAGGUGCAUUCCUACUGAGUAUGUGAUAUAUAUGAGAUGAAAUGCUGGAUAUAAACGCUAUUCAAUUUGCUUAUUUAUACUGCCUACUAUAUGCAGGACGUCUCUUAAGAUAUUUUAGUUUUGCUAAUGGAUUCAAUCAAGGGUAAAUUGUUCUGACUUGCAGUCGUCUACUUCUUACACUAGUCCUAGAAGCUGGGAACUAAUAUUAGCUCCAUUUUGUAGAUGUUUAAACUGGAGUUAGAAAACUUAAGCAAAUUUUCCAAAGUCGCAUGACUAGUAAAUUAAUGGAACCCAAGAUUUAAAGCCAGUCUGAAGUGUCUCAUUCAACCAACCCAUCAUCUUUCAUGUUGAUAAAGUCUGAAUCUACAAUGAAGUCCAUCCACACAUCUAGAUAGAUCUUGCACAAACAUUUCAAUACCAUUUUCAACAAGAAUUACAACAAAAAGAACAAUUAGAAGUUUAUCUUCUGGGUCCUCUCUCUACUAAAAAUAAUUUGCUAGCUUUAUAUUUCCUUUGGGUAAAUCUCAAAAUAAUUCCAGGUAUGGUGCUUGAGCUCCUAUAAACCCAUCUUACUUGUCCAGACUCACCUGUCCUCAAUCAGUAUUAUUGUUAUCAUUAUUAUUAUUAUUAUUAUCAUCAUCAUCAUUAGACUGACCUGGAUUAGAAUCCUCUCUCAAAUUUUGUUUUCUCUUUGUUAAAGCAGGAUAUAGGUAUCACUUCUUUCGUCUGAUUAUGUUAGAAAUAAAUGAGAUAAUACAUGUAAACAGUAAGCAUAGUAUUUGACAUAUAACAAUAAGAGUGAAGUAUAAAAUGCUAUUCCUCUAUUCCUGAAUUCCUUCUUUGAUGCUCUAGAUCCUUGAGAUUCUCCAAACUCUACUGAAGUUUCCUCUCCUCCAGGAAAUUAUUCGUUAUCUGAUCCUAGCUCAUUCCUCACUUGGGCUCCUUCCUUCAUUGUGGUGGGAUUCUGUUCACUGGCCAUUGUCCUGUUGCAUUCAUCUUCUGUGUAUGGUGACAUGUGGGUGGAUAAAUGCUCGUUAACUCCAAAAUGUCAUUCUAAAUAUCCAGACAUAGACACACAAUCUCUGUCCUCAAACAGCUCGUGACAUAAAUGAGGAGACAAGUUAAGCCCACAGAAAAUAGCCAGAGACUGUUGCACUAUUUCUUAGAAUCCACUGUGAUGCAGACUCUGAGAGGUGUGUCUUCUGGUCAUGUACUUGGGAGCUAUUUAUGCACACAUUAUGCACCUGUACUUUGCUGAGCACUCAAGUCAGAAAUUAAUAAAACACUUUGCUUUAAAGUUACUUACAGUCUGUUGAGGCAAAACUGACAUUUUCUCAUUUUUUCUCAAUUCCACUGGUAUUAAUUGAAAGCUUAGUAUCCCAGGAGUGCUCUCAAGGAAAUAAAAAAACAAACAGACGUGUUACCUUCCAUUAUGAAACUUGUACUCUAGUGAAGAGUGAGGUGGUAGUAAACAAGACAAUUUCCAGUAGUAACACGUGGUAUACAGUAAUUGGGAAUGACAGUGGGGAGCUGCUUUAGACUGGGUGGACAGAGAAGACCUUUCUGAGUAGAUGCCAUAGGAUCUAACACCUCGUGUUGAGAAGGAGCCACCCAUUACAAGAGUUAUAAGAAAACAUUUUAAACAGAAGAAGCCUUAAGAGCAAAGGCAGAUUCUAGGAGGAUGUAGCAGUUGUCUACAAUAGAAAUUAGAAAACUUUCUCUGUAAAGGACAGGAUAGUAAAUAUUUUAUGUUUUGGCUGGACAGUAUCUGUCACAGUUACUCAACUCUGCUGUUGUAACACAAAAACAGCAAUAGACAAUAUAUAAGUAAUGGGCUUGAGUUUGUGCCAAUAAAACUUUAUUUACAAAAUCAGGCAGAGGGCAUAACUGGCCUGCCAGCUGUAGUUUGCCAAUCCGUGGUUUACAGUGUUAGACAAAGGACUUGCACAUACUGCAAGAUGUAGCAGACUGUGGUUUCUAAGGUGGUCACACCGCUAUAUCCCAUCUCAAAUGCUCCAAUUACAAUGUUUUGUUGGCAUUCCUCCACCUGGAAAUGGAUUGUAUACUCCCUGUCCUUGAAUUUGAGUGUGCCUGGGACUACAGAAGAUGUGUGCUGCAUGACUUCUGAGGCUAAAUCAUAAAAGAUGAGGCAGUUUUCAUCACCUUUUUUUGGGAUUCACAGCUUAAGAGUUUUGAGCUUACACAUAGAAGAUUAAUCUCCUCUGAAUCUGCUCUGCUGGAGAGAUCACCUGGAGAACCUACAUAGAGUCCUAGCUCUCACCCAUUUCAGUCUUCCCAGCGCAAGUGCCGGCCAAGUGCGUGAGAUAGAUUCCUGAGAGUGAGAUUCCUGGGUUAAAAGAGAUUCCUGGGUCAAAAGUGCAUUUUUAUUUUGAAUAUAUGUUGCCAGGCUUCUUUCCAAAAUGGUGGUAAUAAGUAACAUGUCUACAAGUGAAGAAUAUGAGUACCUUCCUCCCAGCAUCGCCAGCAAUCAGUGUUACCAUAUUUUCGAACCCUUGGCUCUGAGUGGAUAUAUAAGGUAAUACUUCAUUAUUCCCUGUCUACUCACAAACUUGAGCAUCUUUUUAUAUGUCUGUGGUCCAUUUGAAUUUUCUGUUCUGCAAUUUACUUUUAUGUAGUCUUUACCAUUUUGUUUUUUGAUAAUAUGUGAUAAUCUUGUAUAUUACAGAUAGUGGUCCUUUAUCUGUCAUGUGCAUUGUUAUUUCUCCCCAUUCUUCCCAUUUUAUUGAUUUUGCAGUACCUUUUGGCAUGUAUUUAUUUUUUAUUCUUAUGGUCAGUUAUGUCAAUAUUCUUUUUAUUGCUUUUGGGUUUUCAGUGUUUAUUGGGGUCUCCCCAAUCCCUAGGUUGUGUAUGUAUAUGGCCCCUUUGUUAUCUGUAUUUUACAUUUAAAUAGUUUAUUUACUUUUUUCUUUACAUUUAGUGUGAGGUAGAUAUCCAACCUUAUUUUUCUUUGAAAGGAUAAUCACCUGAGUUAGGAUUAUAUAUUAAAUAAUCUUUCAUUUUUCCACUGUCUUGGCAUACUCCCUUUGCCAUAUGUUACUUUUUUUAUAUAUACCGUGAUUGAUUUUUGGAAUAUUUGUGUGGUUUCUCUGUUUGCCUAUUACUAUUCAGUACUACAUUGGUAUGAGUGCAGAGGAGUUGACAUUCAGGUCACGUUCUGUACUGGUUAGUUGUUAUUGCUCAGAGGCUUACAGCAAGAAACAUUUUUUUUAAAUCACUCUCUUAUUUUGUGAGUUGGCUGGGUAGCUCUUCUGGCCUGAGUCACUUUGCUGGGCUUGCCCAUAGACCUGUGGUCAGCUGGUGGUUUGGCCAGUAGCUGGAUGGUUUAGGUUGGUCAUACUCAUGUGUCUGACAGCUGGUAGGCUAUUCACAUUGGUAGGCUGCCUCCAUUUCUUCCACCUGACUUCUCAUCCUCCAGCAGGCUAAUUCAGGCUCGAGUCCACGGUAGUCUCAGAAUUCUGUGUGUGGCAAGAGAAAGAAAGCCUUAACAUGCAAGCACUUUCAACCUUUGUUUGCAUCAUGUUUGCUCAUGUCUAUUGGUCAAAGCAAGUCAAAUGGCCAAAUUCAGAUUCAAGAGAGGUUCAGAUUCAAGAAAGGAAAAAAUAUACUCUGCCCCUGGAUGCAAGAGGUGUACAUGCAGAAACAGGAAGGGUUUGUUGCCAUUUUUGGAAUCUACCACACCGUAAGAAUCUGAAUGAGAAUUUGUUUUCCAGAAUCAAAUCUGAUCCUUCUCUCUCCAGCUUGUAAAUCUCCCAUGGCACCCUUGAUCUUCAGAAUUAACUCCAGAACUCUUAAUAUGGCAUGGUCUGGUCCCUGCCUACCUUGGCAGACUCAUGUCAGCAAUGCCCAUUCACAAUGCCCUGUGUUCCAACAUGCAGAACCAUUUUAUCUUCCUCUCUCCUGUGCCUUUGCCCCAAUUAAGCUUGUGGUAAGGGAUCCUUAUCUCCUCCCUCCGUGUUUCUGCUUUGUUCCACCCUGGAGUCAAAGAUUUUCCUCUGUCUCAUCACCCCCUUGUUGUUCCUAUCCAAAAGAGAAAUGACCAUUUUUCUUGGAGACAGCUGGCAUCCCUUGGGCUUCACACUUGUGUGGAGAUCCUUAAGAAAAAAGUCCCUGUAUUCUUGCACCUGCAACACUUGUGAGAAGCAGCCUCCCCUUUUAUUCCUCAUUACAUGUCGUCUAUCUACCAACACUGCUCCUUUCUCUGAGGAGGCAGCCCAUGUGUGACUGGGUAGAAAGUCACAGGUGAGGUAGGAGGUAAAAGACCCCAUCACAUUUUCCAAUCAGUAGCUUUACAUUUGAAAAUGUUUGGACCCUUGUCCAGUUAUUAAAAAAGCAAAUAAUUCCACCUCCUUUUAGUUAAUUGAUUCUCAUCCUUGUUAGUUACACUGUGGAGAGGAGGAGGGUCAUGUCCUAUGUCUUAUAUACCAGUGUCUGGGAUAUUCUUCUCCUCCUUCUCACUUAUCUAUCCUUUCAAUUAAUAUUCACUGACUUCCCACUGUGUGCAAGGUGCUGAAAAUACAGUCAUGGGUAGGUCAACAUGGUCUCUGUUUUGACAGUGUUUGUGGGUCAAAGUAAAUCUCUUGUAAAGUCAGCUUAAGGAAGCAUGAUAACACAAUAAUAAGGAAAAAUCACCUUUGAAUCUGAGGUCACACUCAGAAGAACUACUAUGACCCCAAUCCCUUAACUUUCCUUCCCCUCCCUUCAGAAUCCCUGAAGUUUCAUGUAUUCUCCUUGGUGAUUAGUAAAGUGUUCUUCUGGUAAUUCCAGGACUGGUAUCUAUUCUCUGCUUUGUGGCUGAAGCCAGAGCUGCUGAUUCUGUCUUGGAUUCAACUCUCUGAGACCGUAGACACUGGACCCUGACAUUCUCACUGCAGCUCUGCAGCUCUGUUUGGGAAGGCGUCACUCCACUGGGGUUAGAACUGUCUGUUUAGCUCCUCUCUGUAGGAGUGCUAGACUUUCAGUUUCUUAUGGGCUUUUCAUUUUUUUAGGAUCUUGGGACAAAUUAUCUGAUGCAGAGAACAUUUUAAUAGAAACACCCUUUUUUUACACCCUAAGGCAUACUGUUGUUAUUAUUAUUGUUAAACUAAUAUUUAGUAUAUACUUGCUGCAUGCCAAAAAUACUUCCUCUUUAAUUCUUAUAGCAACAUUGAGAGUUAAAUCUACCCAUUUUACAGAUGAGAGAUCAAAGGCUCAGAGAAGAGAAGAGCCAUGCUCAGAGACAAGAAAUCCUUUCUCUGUUCCUCAAUCUUAUUCCCAGUUUCCAAGUAUUGAUUUUCAGCCUCAGAGUAUUCUCUCCUAUUCUUUCUAGGAGAUCUUUCAGGUUCUAAAGCAAAAAGCUUGCUUGUGGCCUGUCCUGGCUGUCUAAGGACCCUAAGUUAGCAAACAGAUUAGGUCUUGCCUCUUUCUCAACACAGUAGGACUUAUUCCACUCUACUGUUUGCAUCGAUAAUGUGCCUUUUUUGGGUUGAGUUGUUGGGAGUGGACUCUGUCCUCUUCACCUCUGAAGUCUUGGAGCCCAGCUCAGGAUCUGGCACAUCGCAAUGAAUGCACCUGUUUAAUUAUGAAGAUGAGAUAGGGACUGGACUUUUGCUCUGAUCUAAGAUGUAGAUAUAAUCCAAGUCCCCAGGGAAGUGUACCUGCAUGGAGCUCUGAGUAUUAUAGGACAAAUAAUCACUGUUUUCAUUGUCAAGCCUCUGAUCUUCUGGUGGAACCACCUUACCUGCUAAUGAGUCAGAAAUAGAACACAAAUAAUAGUGGCUACUAUUUAUGGUGUGGUGAUUAUAUGCUCACUCUGAUGAUAAAAUAUUUACAUGGAUUAUCUCAUUUAGUAUUCAUAACACUGAAUAAGAAUGCACUUCUGUUUUUCCUAUUUUAUGGAUGAGAACCCUAUAGUAUAGAAAAACUAAGUAACUUGCCAAUGUCACACUCCAAGUGGCAGAGAUAGGCUUCAAGCAAAGGUAAUAUAACUCCAGUACCUGAGUCUUUAAAAGAGAGAUGACAAACAAUUUCUUCAUGACAUUUCAGAAAAUGUCUUGGAAGCCACAUGGGGUUUUGUUUUGUUUUGGCAUUAACAAGAGCAGUAGGACUGGAGCUGACCCAGUAGUGAGUCAGAAGUCCCAGAUCCCUGUCCUGACUCUGACAACUCGCAUAGUCUUCCUGGGCUACAAUGUCUUCAUUUGCAGAAUGAUAGUUGGAGCUAGCUGGUCAUGACAAAGAUGGCACGGGUUUUACAGUCAGACAAAGUCUAAAAUUGAUUUCACCACAUACUAACCAUGUGCUAGGGUGAGUGACUUAAUCAUUCUAAACAUCUUUUUUUCAUAUCUGGAGUGCGCAUAAUUUAUGAUUUAUUAACUUAUUAUUUGUUAUAAUAAAAGCUGUUGGAGGCAGAUAAAUGUGUUAUAUAAACAGAAAAGCUCAGGUGGGGCUUUUUACAGAUGCCCAGAUCAGUGCUCCAUGACAUCCUCAGGUCCUCCUGCAGGUAAGUCUGGAAGCAGGAUGCAGUUCUCAGAUUCCUGCCUCUCCAUAGCAUCUUUACAUUCAUUGGUGUUCCAGUCCAAGCAGACUUCGUGAUCUGUGCCUGUGGGGCUUGUGGUUUGAAUGUCUAUGGAGUGUGGCUCCUUGGCAGCCAAAAUCAAUGCCAGGAUUCUCCCGAUGGCUCCUUGUUUUAACAACUCAGUUUUCUUGGCACAACCUUUGACUGCCCUGGGUAUAGGAUUCCUGUAUUUUCUCAAUAUCCUCUCUCUGAAGGGCUUGAGGGAGUCUGAGCAAUCCUACCACCCUUCCUUCAUUUUAUACUCUUGGGAUCUUUACUAAGGGACUGCUAUACACAGGGGGAAAAAGAAAAACAAAACCCUCAACUGACAGAAAAAUGCUUUGUUAAUAGCCAAGAAUCCCAGACACGCUAAUAUACAAAUCUUUGACAGCUUUGAAAUAGAAUGUGACAAAGUAGGGAUGAAGUGGGGUGUCUUGUCUCCCCCAAAUUUAGAGUCAUGGGCUAAAGCAUGCGUAUAAGGGAAGGAAGAUUUAAGCACUGAGUUCCCUGAAAAUAUUCACUCAACCAAGCAGAUGCGUGGGAAGAUGGAAGCCAAGAAGGGGGACUAGCCUGCCCUACAUCUCAGGCUCUGCCCAGGAGAGUUUAUUGCACCAGGAGACAGGAUGAGAAAGAGAUGGGGCAACCUGGGUUCCUGCCCUACAAGGCACAGUGGCCGUGCCCUCCAGUAAAUGUGGCCCAAUGAAUACAGGGAUCUGAUCAGUCAACUCAACAGCACCUCUUUCUGGAAGAGGGAUUCAGGAUGAAGUAGAGAUGGAUAGCCCUGGCAUGAAAAACAAUCUUUGACAUUUGAAGGAAAAGUUCUGGAAAUAUCCUCCCCUAUGACUUAUUAAUCACAAAGGAUUUAAUAUACUCCCUUUUCAAACAGCCAGAUAAUUCACUGGAGAAAAAAAAUUCUUGUUAAAUUUCUAGAUUAUCAAGGUGGGAAGGAUUAUUGAAGACAUCUAGUUUACCAACUCAUCUUUUGGAUGAAUAAAUUAAUAAACUAAGGUCUAGAAAAAAGAAGUGAUUUGCCUAAAGUAGAAUUCCAGGAGGGCCAGGCCAUGGCUUAGUGGUUAAGUUUGCGUGCUCCAAUUAGGCGGCCUGAGGUUUGCUGAUUCGGAUCCAGCUUGAAGAGCACAGCUCAUCAAGCCAUGCUGUAGUGGUAUCCCACAGGGAGGAACUAGAAUGACUCGCAACUAAGGUAUAAAAUUAUGUACCGGGGAGAAAAAAAUGAAAGUGGAGAAUUGGCAACAGACAUUAACUCAGGGCCAAUCUUCCUCACCAAAAAAUAAAUAAAUAAGUGGAUAAAGCAAUACCUUUUUUAAAAAAAAGAAUUCUAGGGUUCCAGAUUACUUAAUUUAUACCUCUAAUCUGGAAAUGCUGUUAUAUUGUUUUCUUCAUUUCUUUUUCCUCUUAUGCUUCUUCCUUCUUGUCACUUUUUUCCCUUCUAAGCCUAGUGUAUACCCCACCUAUAUUCACAAAGGAUUUAUUAAUAUACACAGAAGAAUAUUAAUAGAGCAAUUCAUUCCUAGGUAUGUACCCAGUAGAAACAAGGUCACAUAUCCACCAAAAUAAUUAUACAUAUAUGUUCUUGUCAGCUUUAUUGAUAAACUGUCAAACUAGAAACAACUCAUAUGCCCAUCAACAGAAACAUGGGUAAAAUAUUGUGAUAUAUUUAUACUACAGAAUACCAAGCAGCAAUAAAAAGGACAAACUAUUGGUAAACACAACAACAUAGUUGGACUUUAAAGACAUUAUAUUAAAUAAGAGAAGCCAGACACAGAGGAUAGUAAACCCUAUGAUUCAAUUUAUAUGAAGUUCAAGAAUGGCCAAAACUAAUCUAUGGAUGGGAGUCAGAGUAAUGAGGUUGAAUAUGGUAGAUCUUGAUUGGGAAGAAGCACAAGGUAAGCUUAUAGGAGCGUAAAAAUAUUCUAUAUCUUGUUCAGGGUGUUGGUUAUAUAAGCGCAUACAUGUGCAAAAAAUACAUUGGCCUGUGCACUUUAUAGUAUAUAAAUUAUACCUAUGUUUAAAAAAAUCUUUCAAAGAGCAAUAGAAAAGCUGGAACUAUGCUAAUGUGGAGGAGAAUUAACAUAUCCAAAACCUAGGCUAACAGAUUACUGUAAUUGAAUAUCAAAUUUAAUUUUGAAAUAGCAGCAAAUGAAAAAAUUCCUAAUCAUUUGCUGCUCCCGUUUUCUUAAAUGAAAAUUAAAAUCAUCAGGAGAGAGAUAUUUUAGAAGCCAUAUUCUCCUUCUAAAAUGAACUUAUCAUGUAAUAUUUUAAAUAAAAGACAUUGAACAAUAUAAUGGACAAAAUCUCUGAUUGUAACUCAGUAGAAAUGUUGAGAUAUCUUAAUACGCCCAUUUUUUUUCUACCAGUCUUUCAUAAAGCUGACACAUAUAUAUAAUGAUGAUAUUUUCUUAGAGGAAAAUAAGUUAAUGAGAUCCAGGUGAGCAUCAGUUAGCUAACUCCCAGAGACAGAGAGCUUAGCCCAACACAUCUCCACAGACAUACACAGGUGAUGCUUUUGCUUUUGGAACAAGGACCACACUUUGAGUAACAAGGACAAGGACUUAGACCACUUAGGAAGUGUGUUUACUCAUCAUUUGUAUUAUUUAUAUUGGGAUUAUUGUUAAAAGUUAGAUUUCUGGUCUCCCUUUCCCCAGGAGGUGGGAUCAAGGAUGCUGCUUCUUUUAAAAAAUAAAUUUCAAGAAGAGUAUGGUGUACACUAAAAUUUUGGAGCCGCUGACUUAGAGAAAUGGAUUUAUGGCAUGCCCCGUACAAUUUCCUGGGAGUAUAAUUGUUGUAGCUGGUUUCACACAACAGGAGAAAGAAAGGGAAAGGGAAAGAACAUAUUUUCAAGGCCUUAUAUACAUCAGUCACUUAUUGGAUGUGCAAUUAACUUUAGUUAAUUUAAUCCUAAUGAAUAUUCUAUGAGGUAGGAAUUGUCAAUAUUCUAGAAUUAAAAAGUAACAGAUGAUCAUUAUUGAGCACAUAAUAUUCCUAGACUCUGUACUAAAUGCUUUAAAACCACUAUCUGAAAGAGCAGCCCAGUGAAUAGGCUCUUGUUUCAUCUCAGUUUUACAGUUCAAACAAUGGAGCCUUAGAGAAAUUCAGUCCCUGUAGAAUCUGGCUGACGAGAGCUCAACCCUCAACCACUACGAGUAGGACCUCGCUCAACUGACACCACACAGCAAGCAGCGAGGCCACGAUGCAACCCAGAUAUUUUAUUUUUGUUUUUAUUUUUUACUUCAACUAUAAUACUUUGACCAAUUGGCACAUAUUAUUUUCCUUUCAUUUUGCUGUUAUUACUCCAUCCUUCAAUUAUUUUGCUUUGAGGAGCAUCAAUGAAAAGACUUAGUGGCUCAGACUGUAAUUGUUAACAUCUGUAUAGUAUUUUACAGUUCAUAGUAUUUUGUGUAUAAAAUACUUUGGCUGAUUUCAUUCUCUAAACCACAUGUAUCCUCAUUUUGUAAAUGAGGAAACCAAGGGACAGGGAAAGGUAAUUAAGUUAUCUGGAAUUCAGACUCCAAACUCCAAAUCUAUGAGCUUCCACUAGGCCAGGCUGCCAAGAGAAAAGGGAGCAGAAAAAUAACAUGGGAGAGUGGGGAAAGCAAUCACGAGGGACCCAGCAGCGUUGCAUUCCAGUCCUGGCUCUGCCACCAGCUGGAUCAACCUCCAGCAAUCUGAUUUCUGUCUUUGGGCAAUAGCUUUACAAUCUUAAACUAAGGGUUUAGAAUAGACAAGUUAUUUUCAAAUAGUGUUGGCUCAUUUUUAUCAAAACCCUUUCUCUGAAAGAAAUCUUACAACAGACUAUUAACUCAUAAAGCAAAUCUUACAGCAGACAGUUAACAACUGGAGCACUGGGAACCCACUCCUUUCCAUUCUAGGGCGGAGCAGGAAUUGUGUCUGUUUUGUUCACUAAGUUUCUAGUUCAGGGUGUGACACAUGUAGGUGCUCAUUAAAGGCUUGUUGAAUGUAUAAGGCUGCUUUAAGGAUUCCUUACAGCUCCACGGGGCACAGUGUCAAGACUAUCAGAUCAACAGGUCUCAGGCUUUCCUGUGAAUCUGAGGCCAAUUUCUUAGAAAGUAAAACUUCUCGUAAGAGUUCAGAUCAAAAGCGGAGAUUUCUCUGGCUACCCCUUCGUGUUCAGGGACCUCAGGUGUUUCCAGGCAAAGUCAUUUCCACAAGGACAGAGUUCUACAGUGUUAUUUUUCAUAUCAUUCUGUAGGAUAUGCUUAGGGAUUGCAUGCUUUUUCCUACAUUCUUUCUCAAGAAAAUACCAACUGAAUAACAAAGCAAAACAGACAAAAUCUAGAUUUACUUAGUAAUUUCUUUUUAAUUUUCUUACCCACUGUGAACUCUGUGCACAAAUCCUUCUCAUAGUUCUUCUGAAAAGUUCCUGGCUUCUCAUGAAAACUAGUUUUAUUUCUUGUUGUCUACAUAUCUAACUAUGACACAACUGAGAGUUUAUCCUCUUAUUUUUGGAUUAUUUUUUAAACACUUUUUAAUAUGAAAAAUUUUAAAGAUACAAUACAGUAGAAAGAAUUACUAAUACAAUAUUUAGAAUGAUUUAGAAUUAUUAGUCUAAUAAAUCUUCAUAUACUCAUAGAUUCUACAUUGCCAGGAAUUUGUCGCAUUUACUUUGUUUAUCCCCAUUUUCUCUUUUUUUCUUUCUGAAGAAUUUCAAAGAAAAUCCAGACACCAUGUCAUUUCACCCCUACUUCAGUAUACUGUCAAGAUUGUGUUUUUCUUUAUUUUGGGCAAGAAGGAAAAUAUAUCUUAAACUUUGGGAAGGAGAGUGCACAUGGCUCACUCUUGCUUAUAUUUUUUAACGGACUCAGUUAUUUAUUCAAGUAAAUUGGUAAGAGUCAGGCUCACACAAAUGAUUUCUGCAUAUGUGUAUAAAUACUUAGUGUUGUGCAAAAGACGCUGUCUAUAUUUCCUUAUUUAAUCCCUGUAACUAUUUCCUAUGGUAGGGACUACUGCUCUCCCUAUUUUACAGAUGAAAGAACUGAGACUAGAAAAUGAACAGCUCGGGGCUCAACCUCAGAGCUGAUGCUGUGCACAGCCUGCCAUAUUGCAAGUGAGAUUUAGUUUCUGCUUAGCAUACAUGGCUUUCUUUCACUUUCCUUUAGAAUUGCAGCACGUGCUAUAAGGACACCAGAAAUUUGUAUGAGGCGAUAGUGCUCAGCCCUGGUUCACCAUUAGAAUUAUCCCAUGCCCAGAUACUUUCUCAGACCAACUGAAUAAAUCAGGAUUUCUCAAGGAAAUUCCCCAUUCCAGAAUUUUCAGAAUCUCCUUAAGUAAUGGCUGGGACUGAAGACCAUUAAUCCAUUCUAGGGAAAACUCCUCUUAUCCACGUGAGGAGAGUAAAGCCCAUUGAGAUAAAAGGUUGAUUCAAUGUCUCAUAGUUCAUUCCUGGUAAAUCUGGGCCCAAUACACAUAAAGGAAGUGAGGCAUAAUCCUUUGGUUUCAUCUUUUUGUUGCAAAGACAGUGGACACAGAGAUUAUUUCUCAUGUUGUUUGUGAGAAUACACGCUUUUAUCUAUAUUCAGGGACUUGACGUUCAGUCCAUUAUCACAUCUAAAUCUUUGCUGUCCAGGCUUUGUGUUGUGUUCCUUGUCACAUGUGCAGCCCAUACCUGGCCUUCUUCCCUGAUGACUAUGGUAAUUUAGGAGUCUCACAUGCUUUAGAAUUUUGCCAUGCAAUGCUUGACCCUGCAGGAUUAGUUUAUUUUUGAUUAGCUAAUGCAGUGUGAUGGACUCUUUAUUUAGUUUCUGAAUCUAUGUGUUACGAGGAACAUGGUUAAGAUUAGAGCUCAUUCAGAACAGCGUUUUUAAAAUUGCUGGUUGUUACACAUUAGUAGGUUAUGAAAUAAAUUUAUGUUAUGACCAGCAUCUGAGAAAACCAGACUAGAAUAAAACAGAAAAAGAGAAAACAUGAGAGUUCAUUGCAGAUAAUAAGUGGUGUGUGUGUGUGUGUGUGUUUGUAUGAAGAGGCUCAUAAUGUGAAUGCAUUUGUUUGGUGGAAUGAUUAUAUAAGAAGUCGGGAACCAUUGUUCUGGAAGAUGUGACUGAGUAGUAUAGGAUCUUGAAAUGAUAUUACAUAAGAAAUGGUAGAACAAAGUGAGAACGUUGGCUCUUUCUCUUAGAAUAUCACUAUGUAUUCUCAUCUCUAUCUCCCUUGUGUCUUGUUCUUUCUCUUAUUUUCUUAUUCAAAAAAGUACACACAGACACACAUAAACACAUAUAGUUAUGCUUAAAUAUAAACAUUAGUAUAAAAUAUAUAAGAGUUGACUUUCAAUAUUUUGUAAUACAGCAUUGUGUGCAAAAGAAUUAUAUUUCUUCUAAGUAACUCCAGAAGGCAGAACUGAGAGAGUUAGGACACUAGAUGAAAUGGAUGGAGAUCAUGGGACACUAGAUUUUGGUGCAUAUGACCAAGUUUUACUGACCACUAGUCUGCCUUACAAGAGUGAGCUCCCUGUCUUUGUAUUAUGUAAAAGUAUCUCAAGGUGAUCAUUUGCCAAAGUUUUUAUGUUAGAUUGAAGAUCUGGGCCUAUAGCUAAGGUGCCUUCCAGUUUUCUGGGGUCCAUGAACAAAUAUCAUUUGUAAAAAGCCAGGGGUAAAAAAGAGUGUUGCACAUCCAUGAGAUAAUUAGAUGCAAAUAGUCAAAUGUGCCUAAAACAUAGAUAGUGGAGUGUAGGGGCUGUAGAAUCAAGAGGAGUGUACUCAUGUAAGGUCUUCUAAAGCUAAUAUGAAAAUGUUUGAUUUUAUCAUGAGAUCAGUGGUACACCAUUAUGGAGUUCUAAGCAAUAGUCUGAUCAGAUGUGUACCUCGAAAGUCUGGUUUGCAGGAGGAUAGGUUAGGUAGUGGUUGCUGUGAUCCAGGACAGCUAGAUGAUAGUUUUGAUUGGCAGGUAAAAUGUGAACAGAUUCAGGAGCUAUCCAGGAGAUAGACUCAGCAGGACUUGGGGUUUGAGUGGACAUGGAGAAUAAUGAAGACGAAAACAAGCAUAUGCCAGCAUGACUAAAAGCCCAGUCUCGGGAGUCAGAAAAAACUCUGGGAAAAGUCUACAUCCUUCCUUGAACCACUUCUGAGUUUUGUGCCUGUAGACAAUUGAAGCUUCAGAUCCUUCAUCUAUAAAAUGGGCAUCGUAACAGCUCUUUUUAUUUUUUAAACCCUCUGCAACUCGUUUUUUGUUGUUGUUGGGAAAGACUCACCAUGAGCUAACAUCCGUUGCCAAUCUUCCUCUCUCUCUUUUUUUUUUCUCCCCAAAGUCCCAGUCCAUAGUUGUAUAUUCUAGUUGUAAGUCCUCUUAGUUCUAUGUGAGCCACCACCACAGCAUGGCUACUGAAAGAUGAGUGGUGUGGUUCCAUGCCUGUGAACUGAUCCUGGGAUGCCAAAAUGGAGCCUGCUGAACUUUAACCACUAGAUGAUCAGGGCUGACUCCUCGCAGGUAUUACUUCAUAGAAGUGACAUAAGAAUUUAAUAGAGUAAGGUAUGUAAGUGCUCAAGAGCUAUUUUUUUCUAAAGAUGUUAUUUUUUAGAGAAGGUUUAUGUUUACAAGAAAAUUGAGAGGACGGUACAGAGAUUUCCAGCAUACCCCCUACCCCCACACAUGCACAGCCUCCCCAACUGUCAACAGCAUUCACCAGAGUGGUACACUUAUCUUUUUUUACCAAAGAUGAACUUAUAUUGACAAAUCAUAAUCACCCGGAGUCCAUAGUUUACUUAAAGUUUCACUCUUGGUAUUAUACAUUCAUUGGUUUUGGACAAAUGUAUAAUGUAAACAUUAGGACAAAUGUAAAAGUAUAUUGAUUGUUAAAAUAUCAUGCAGAGUAUCUUCACUUCCCUAAAAAUCCUCUGUGCACUGCCUAUUCAUCUUCUUUCCCUCUCCAGCAACCACUGAUCUUUUUGUUAUCUCCAUAGUUUUGCCUUUUCCAGAAUGUCAGAGUUGGAAUCAUACAGGAUGUAGCCUUCUCAGAUUGGCUUCUUUCACUUAGUAAUAUGUAUUUAACUUUCCUCCAUGUCAUUUCACAGCUUGAUAGCUCAUUUCUUUUUAGCACUGAAUAAUAUUCCAUUGUCUGAAUGGACCAGAAUUUAUUUAUCCAUUCACCUAUUGAAGGACAUCUGGGUUGACAAGAGCUAUUUUUAAUAUUGUGAAAUGGAAAUUGUGUAAAAUUUUCUUUACACUUUGUGGGCUCAAUCAUUCUCAUAAAAAUAUCCCAUCAUUUUUAUAAAAUACCUCUCUGUCUAUAUGAUAAAAUGUCACAUCUAAGUUAGAGGAUGAAGUGAGCCACAAUGCCUGGAGAGAACAAAAUCAUAUAAGCAGUUCCCGUUAGGAAUUCUGUCUUAACAAGGCUUGACCUUGUCUGGGUGUGCUAAACAUUAUGCAAAAAUCGAAGAUAGAAAUCUAUUAGGAUCUCAGCUAUUUGAAUUUACUCCACUCUUUCACUUUGUUUCCUGCUGUCACACACAGAUUUAAAUCCCAAUGUUAAGAAAAACUAAUUCUAAAAUUUAAAAAAUGAGGAAACAAAGCAUUAUUUAGCUCGAAGUCACAACAAGAACUGUCUGUUCCAAAUCCUUCAUUUGGAAACAGGAUUUUCUCCCCUGUUGUUCUCUAAACCAAAGGCCUUAAGCUGGAGCUCUCUGGCAUAAAUAACUGAAACCAAAUAUAGAUUCCUCCAAAUGCUAUUGGUAAAAAUUGUAAAUAGAAUCUUAAUUAUAAUACAUAUUCAUAGACCUCGGUGACCCAGGGAAAAAAGAAGAUUGAUAGAUUUAUUAUUUGAUAACCCAUUUUUGUUGGUAGAAAGGUGGUGUAUCCUUUCAAUAUUCAUCAUCUUUGUGUAAUCAAUUGGUCUGGUGAGAAUUCACCUCAGUCCACAUCUGUGUAGAGGAAAAAUAUGGUAGAAACUGCCUUAAUUCUGGCCUCCCUUUUACAUCUCCGCUGACACUGUCUAAUGAUCUGUUUCCAAAUUAUUCCCACAGCCUUUGAACUCAUCUUGGUGUUCUCAGAUUCUUACUUCUGCAGCCACCUUCCAUAUUAACAGUCGAUCCCUUAUAACAUCUCUAAGGACAUUCCGAUCUCUAUCUUGGCCCUGUGUUAGAAAACUGAUGCAUACACUCUUUGGCAACAGGAGAGUAUGGGACUCAUUCAAUGAGUUGCCUGUCUUCUCUAAAUAGAUCUUAGCUUAUUGUAGUGAUAUGCUGGAGUUAGAGUACAUCUGUUGAUUAGGAGGGCUGAUUGUGCACAUCUGUUCCCAACUCCCCGUCAGUGACAUCACAUUGCUAGUUUAAAAUAAGGCAUGGUAGGAGUAUUUAUACCAUGGAAAUGGGCAAACACACACACAUCACACUUUUUCCUCUGGAGAGAUGGUUGUUAAACCCUUACCAGAAUGCCACUGAUCAUUUGUCACUUCCUGAUCUCUUAAAUUAAAGCCUAUGGUAUAUGGUUAUGCUAACAUAACCAUGCUCCUCUCCUUUGUAGCACUUACCUUAGUUAUAAGUUGAUGUUCAUUUCCAGUGGGAAGAUUAAUUGAGAUAGUGUAUAUUAAGUACUGAGUAUAGGUUUUGGAACAAGGUGUUCAAUCUAUCUAAGUUAUUAAGCUUAUUUAUUAUUGUGUAAUAAGUGUUAUUUUCCCCUCCACAACACUGUAAGUUCCAUGAAGGCAGAACACUAUUUGUUUUCUGUCCUCAGGAUCUAGCAUAGUACACGGUUCAUGGGGGAUGAACAGCUACAUUGUCAUAAAGGAGUAAAUGUAGUAACUAUUUUCUGCUGAUGAUACCCCAGCUCUCGGACCCUCCACAACCCAAUUCCCCACAUCUUUGCUGCUCAGAGUAAGAAAGCCUGGAUUUGACAUUACCUGUGGAGGAAGUGUGGGUAAGGGUCCUACUUUGGCUACCUAGGAUUCUUCAUGUCAGUGGUCAUAAAUGUUUGAGCCUGUCUCUGUCUUUCAGUGCAUUAUUAAUAUGAGGACAGAUUUCCUGAGACUAAGUAACAUUUAAAAAAUAUUUAGUGGCUAGGAACAAGUGUAUCUUGGGGAUUCAUAUCUAGAAAAUAGACUUAAUUAGAUACUUAACCAUUCACUAUUAUCCUCUCCCCUCUGUGUAGUAAUCUGGCUUUGAUUUGGUUACUAUGGCUGUCCCCAAAAUGUCGUUGUUUUAAGAAAUUGCAUUUUUUUCCAAUUGUCAGUUCUAAGGAUGCUACUAAAAGAUAGUUAUGAGGUAUCUUUAGUCUUCAUUUUCUCAGUUGACUCAUUAGCGGGAAUGUAGCUCAAGUGUGGCUUCAUUAAGUCUUUUCAUUGAUGAGAGUACAUUCACAUAAAAUGUCAGCCUCCCAACACUGACUUUCAUCCAUGCCAGCCA
RNAcentral lists this long non-coding RNA (35166 nucleotides) under Equus asinus (donkey). RNAcentral describes it as "lncRNA (ENSEASG00005035740.1)". Lineage: Eukaryota; Metazoa; Chordata; Mammalia; Perissodactyla; Equidae. The record is from RNAcentral.